RNAcentral lists this ribosomal RNA (844 nucleotides) under Pseudomonas aeruginosa PAHM4. RNAcentral describes it as "bacterial SSU rRNA". It matches the Rfam family "Bacterial small subunit ribosomal RNA", at positions 266 to 1111 of the family's 1533-position model. The record is from RNAcentral. Lineage: Bacteria; Pseudomonadati; Pseudomonadota; Gammaproteobacteria; Pseudomonadales; Pseudomonadaceae.
CACCAAGCCUUCGAUGGAUAGGGGUUCUGAGAGGAAGGUCCCCCACAUUGGAACUGAGACACGGUCCAAACUCCUACGGGAGGCAGCAGUGAGGAAUAUUGGUCAAUGGGCGCUAGCCUGAACCAGCCAAGUAGCGUGAAGGAUGAAGGCUCUAUGGGUCGUAAACUUCUUUUAUAUAAGAAUAAAGUGCAGUAUGUAUACUGUUUUGUAUGUAUUAUAUGAAUAAGGAUCGGCUAACUCCGUGCCAGCAGCCGCGGUAAUACGGAGGAUCCGAGCGUUAUCCGGAUUUAUUGGGUUUAAAGGGAGCGUAGGUGGACUGGUAAGUCAGUUGUGAAAGUUUGCGGCUCAACCGUAAAAUUGCAGUUGAUACUGUCAGUCUUGAGUACAGUAGAGGUGGGCGGAAUUCGUGGUGUAGCGGUGAAAUGCUUAGAUAUCACGAAGAACUCCGAUUGCGAAGGCAGCUCACUGGACUGCAACUGACACUGAUGCUCGAAAGUGUGGGUAUCAAACAGGAUUAGAUACCCUGGUAGUCCACACAGUAAACGAUGAAUACUCGCUGUUUGCGAUAUACAGUAAGCGGCCAAGCGAAAGCAUUAAGUAUUCCACCUGGGGAGUACGCCGGCAACGGUGAAACUCAAAGGAAUUGACGGGGGCCCGCACAAGCGGAGGAACAUGUGGUUUAAUUCGAUGAUACGCGAGGAACCUUACCCGGGCUUAAAUUGCAGUGGAAUGAUGUGGAAACAUGUCAGUGAGCAAUCACCACUGUGAAGGUGCUGCAUGGUUGUCGUCAGCUCGUGCCGUGAGGUGUCGGCUUAAGUGCCAUAACGAGCGCAACCCUUAUCUU